AGCAGAUUAUUUCCUUGCAGCUGAGAGGGCUCCACCCAGUCUUUAAUUUGAGGCCUGUGGUUCAUCAUCAGAGUUUAGCCUGGGAUCAGCCCUGAAACAUGGCAAGCAGGAAAAAUGCAAACCCUUUCCAUUCCACUCUGGCUCCCGGGGACCCGGCUGCCCUCCCUCUGUGGCCCAGAAUGCACUGCACUGGUUGUCAUGAUACAUCCCUUGAUACAUCUCUAGAAUGGCUGAAUCUCAGUGGAGCUGCUGCUUUGGAAAAGCCUGGAAAGCAGCGUUGCAGCAGGAGCAGGCUGGUGCUGGCAACCCAUGCUAUGCCACCGAUGUCAUGCCUUUUCUCUGAAAGAUUCAUGAUUCCCAGUAAGUUUCUAUGCCUAGUUCUUUUUGACUCACAGAAUGGGGGAACAAUUAGCCAAUUAAUGCCUUUUGCAAAUAGCAUUGAAACUGAGAGCUUGGUUAUACGUCAAAAACACUCCUGUUUUUGAAUUAGGUUUGGCAUGUUUAAGAUCGAUUUUCAAAAUUCCAGCAACACAGUGCACAGGGAUGCACAUUUUUUAUUUUUAUUUUUAUUUUUGCCCAGGAAGAGUGUUUUUUUGGAUGGAAAAAAGGUAAUUUACUUAGUCACAAAUGGAUUGUUGCCGUCCAUUAAUUUUGAAAGGUAAUUUACUUAGUCACAAAUGGAUUGUUUAUUCUAAAUCACUUGUGCCGUCCAUUGAUUUUGAAAUGUUUUGGUAUAUGUGAAUGCCUCUGUUGGUGUAAAUUGUUUCUGUGGGUUUUGUCAAGUAACGAGUGCCAGGAUAAUGGGUUUCAGGCUGCAGAAAAGUCUUACAGACUGAUCUGAAAAGAGAGUGGGCAGAAGAAAAAGGAAGUAGAGGAAAGUGCUCCCUUUUUUACAAGCCUAGAGAAGCUGUCAGGCUUGUCUUUUUCUCUGGUCAGUUUCUCAUUGCCACUCACUGAUGUGCCUUUCCUUUGGAUAGCCCUGGCUGCCAGUUCUGUUACUUCCUCUUGUUCUCCACCCUGUGUGCGUGUCAAACUGCAGGGAAAGCUCUCAAUCUGAUCUGUCUUAAUUUUUUUUUUAUAUUUGUCAUACUGAACUAGUGCUAUGCCAGACUGCAAGAAGAAAAUAUACCACAGCAACAUUGUGGCUAUAAGAGGCAACCAGCACAAGGCCCACAAAUGCAAUCUUUCUAAAAGUUGAAGUAACCCUCUCCAACAACACAGUUAAAUUUUUCCCCAAGAGGAAGCAAACACUGACCCAACAACCACAUGGCUACUAUGUUACUUUAAACCGACUUCAAAACCUCAGAUCCAUUUCCCGAUUUAUUUUCAUGCUGUAACCAUGCUCUGAAAUAAUUGUAAUCGGUUUGAAGUGUCAUUGUUAUUCUACGAUGUCAAGUUGCCUCUGCUUAUGGCCAUCUAUGAAUUAGUGACCUCAAAAAGGUCCUGUUAUUAAAAGCCAUGUUCAUCUCUUGCAAACUGCUUGCA
RNAcentral lists this long non-coding RNA (1485 nucleotides) under Pogona vitticeps (central bearded dragon). RNAcentral describes it as "lncRNA (ENSPVIG00000025537.1)". The record is from RNAcentral. Lineage: Eukaryota; Metazoa; Chordata; Lepidosauria; Squamata; Agamidae.